GAACAUGUGAUUAGGCUGUUGAAUAAAUUCCCAACCCUGUGCUUAGGUACCUUCACACGGUUAUUGCUUGCACCAUAUGGAGUAGAAAAGAGGUAGGAAUGAUGAGCUAUUUAUGUUGUCGGACAUGCUUUAUAACCACCAUGUUAACAUUUGCUAUUUUUUUGCUUGAUUAUCUUGUUUCAAUUAAUAAAAAGAAACCGGAUGAUAAGGGUGAUAUAAUGGUAGGUGGAAUCAUCACUUUUAUUGCUAAGAGGUUUAGGGUGAGUGUGAAUCAAGGGAUCAAGAGGAUAGAUGAAAAUUAUUAUCCAAACUUAUAUACUCUCACUACUUUGUCUUUCCUUAGAACCCAUGACCAUACUCACAAUUAUCAAUAUGAAUGGAGGAUUAUUAGAACUAAUUGUUUGAUUAUUCUACCUAAUUCGGACAUUACUAAUCUGGAGGUGGUGGAAAAUUUGCUUUAUGUUGGUACUAACCCACAGGUACAAGAUGAUGGUGAUGAUGAUGGUGGUGAUGAAGAGGAGGUAGGUGCACAACACCAUGAACAAAAAGCCGGUGGAAACUAUAAUGAUAAACGGUGGGCAUGGAUGCAAACCAAAGUUCAAAUAAUAUACACUGAGCAACAAAAACAAGGUGUUGAAAUGGUCGGGAUAAGAAACGAUGUCCUAAGGGGCAAUCAAAUAAAUGAAUAACACAAUCAAAUGUUCCGAUCAUGAUGCAACACCUUCACCUCCAAGGUCCACCUUGUGGAUUUCCAUAAAAUUGUGAGCUCUCCUCUUCCUCUACUCUUCUCUAUUUUUCUUCUUCUUCUUCUUCUUCUUCUUCUUCUUCUUCUUCUUCUUCUUUUUCUUAUUUUGAAUCAUUGAGGACAAUGCUUCUCCUAAGUGUGGGGGGAGCCUAAUAAAGUGUCUUUAGUCGUAGUGUUUCCAAACUCCCUUGAACUUUAUUCUUUUGUUUUGUUUUAUUGUAAAAGGCAUGGUUAAGUAGCUAUUUUUUAUUGAAAAUAUCAUGACACAAAAUUUUCAUUGUCUCCUUUUAUUUGAUUGAUUCUUGUACAAGAAAGCAAACUCUUGUGUUUUAAGUCUUCUUGAUAUAUCCACAUCUUGUUUUAAAGUGAAUAAGAAAAACACAAAUUUGCUUCCCUUGAGUAAAUGUAUGAAUAGGUAUUUUAAGGAAACGCGUUUUAAUCUUAGUGGUGCAUUAACAUUUAAAGAUUCUCAAAGUGCCAGUAGUAUAAGUUAGUAUAAGGGAGUUCAUAAAAAGCCAAAUAAAUUCCAAAGAUCUAAUCAUUGAAUCUAGAUUGGGGAAGGAGGUAGGCCCUCCGACUUCCUACGUGAAGAUGAUUGUUAUCUUGAGGAAAAACUUUAAAAAAGCAUCAUUGAAUCUAGAUUGGGGAAGGAGGUAGGCCCUCCGACUUCCUACGUGAAGAUGAUGUUUUAAGGGAUACCAUUGAAUCUAGAUUGGGGAAGGGGGUAGGCCCUCCGACCUCCUACGUGAAGAUGUUGUUCCUUAAAUAAAGAACUUAAAUGUGCAAAUGGCAAAGAACGAAGAUUCUCAAAUACUCCCAUCUCUCUUAUAUGAAUUAUAGAAGGAAUCUUUCUUGGUUGGUUUAGUGCUAGGAUUAGACCAUGUUUCCUCAUAAUGCCUAUCUUAUACAGGAGCAAGAAAAGGGCUGGACUUCACACACACACUCACUUGAAACUUGAUCGUUGGGUUGAAUAAAAAUUACAAGAAAUGCUUGAGUUUGUGAUUAGUGUACAUUUGGGAUUUAAGCCCUUGAGGAGACAUGUGCUUUAAUUGAAUUGUCAUUUGAUAUAACUGUUGGUGCUACUAUGUUUAUGCCUUUUGCUUGAGGACAAGCAAAGAUUCAAGUGUGGGGGAGUUUGAUGAGUCAUUUAUAUGCUAUUUUAAUAUGCUUUUUAGUUUAGUUUUAUUUAGAUUUUAUAUAAUUUUAUAUUAGUAUUAUUUCCUUUUUAGGAUAGUUUACUUUAAAUUGCAAUUUAUUAUAUUUCAGGAAGAAUAUUGGAUGGAUUGAGUCUUGGAGCAAAAGAAAGGGAUUUGGAGCAAAUUGGACACGAAAAUACGAAGAUUGGGAAACAAAAUAUAUCUCCCACAAGUCAGAAGCCUGGCACGGCCCGUGCUAGCCUUGGCACGGCCCGUGCUAGCCUUGGCACGGCCGUGUCACCCUCCAGAAGACCUUUUGCUGCUUUUGCUUGGACUCCAAGCUAUUCUAUUUUGGCGCACAAUCUACCGAGGAAUAUUCUUGGAAUAUACUUGCUUAGAUUUUAAGUCAAUUGUGUACUAUAAAUAGAGUAGCUAGCCAUCACAAAUAUUCAUCUUUUCUUGGAAUACAAUAUGUGACAAUUGUCUUUCUAAUAAAAGUUCAUUUUACAUGCAUCGGAAUACAACCGUGGUAGUGCUGGCACAUGGGAUUGUUUCUAGUGGUGGAGAUUUACACGGUGUUAGAUCGGUGGCUUCCACUUCCAAUGGUGGGGUGUGUGCUUGAUGUAUGUAGACUGUCGACACGAAUUGAAGAUGGAGUUGCGUGUAAGAAAAACUCGACGGGAACCAUGCAGGUUUGACAUCUGGUGUCCAAAUGACUAUCAAUAUGCUUUUUUGGAAAGGGAAUCAACCCACAAGUGGAACUCAUGGCUUUUGCAUUAAGUAUGAGCUUUUUACACCAUACGAGUUUCAUGAAGGCCGAAAAUUAGAUUUUAUUAUUUCAGGCCCAAUUUUAAUAAUUUUUGUUUUAUUUUAUGUUAUGGAUUUUUGACCCAUUAGGGUUCCUUAGUUUUUAAACACUUAAGUUGUAGCCAGAGAUACACUUUUUCAUUCAAUAAAAUUUCAGAAUUUUGUCAAUUUUUGGUGGAUUCCGAAAUCCUAUUUACACAGUUUUUCAGUUGUAAACUUGUCAUUUUACAAUUUAGAUUUAGUGUUUGCUAACCUAAGCUUCCGACUGUGUCAGUACUUGAAAAUGUGAUUGUUCCAAUGCCUCCGGCGUUGGGGAUAGCCUUGGUCAAUGCUUUUGGACCAGAUGAUAGUGUCCCUUGGACACCCCAUCAGAAAACUAAAUUAUAAAAUAGUGUAAGCCUUGAUGGUAGCUAAACUCAAUGACAGAGAAAUAGGAGUUGAAACUUUGCUCUAAAUCAAGGUGAACAGUUUAAAUAGGAUUUCACAAAAGAGGUUGUGCAAACUUAUACACACUAGAGAAAAUCUUAAGAAAGGAAAAACAAAAAAUAAUAAAAAUAAAUCAAUCCUAAUGAAUUAAAGAAUAAUCAACAUAUCUAUUUGGAUUCUCUUCAAAGAAUGAAUACAGAGGUACUUCAAUUUCCCUCAUAAAAUGUUGAAAACAAGUUUUCUAAGUUGUAUCAUAAACAUAUUGAAGCCUAUCCUGGACAUAUCAGUCAAUAAUGUACUUAAUGAAAAAGUAAAGAAAAUCAGAGCGAUUUGGUGGCUUAAGUCACAUAUGAUAGGGUUUGCAUCUGCUCUGAUUCUUUAUUGCUGAAUUUUCGGCAGGUCCUCUACUUAAUAUAUGACUUCAUUGAGUAGUACUUUUUCCACUAUUAAAAGAGGUUUAUUUCCAGCAUCCAUAUAGGCUCAUAUUAUCUAUGAAGCACGCACGUACGACACGUGUCGGACAAGUGAUGAGUCAUUUAUAUGCUAUUUUAAUAUGCUUUUUAGUUUAGUUUUAUUUAGAUUUUAUAUAAUUUUAUAUUAGUAUUAUUUCCUUUUUAGGAUAGUUUACUUUAAAUUGCAAUUUAUUAUAUUUCAGGGAAGAAUAUUGGAUGGAUUGAGUCUUGGAGCAAAAGAAAGGGAUUUGGAGCAAAUUGGACACGAAAAUACGAAGAUUGGGAAACAAAAUAUAUCUCCCACAAGUCAGAAGCCUGGCACGGCCCGUGCUAGCCUUGGCACGGCCGUGUCACCCUCCAGAAGACCUUUUGCUGCUUUUGCUUGGACUCCAAGCUAUUCUAUUUUGGCGCACAAUCUACCGAGGAAUAUUCUUGGAAUAUACUUGCUUAGAUUUUAAGUCAAUUGUGUACUAUAAAUAGAGUAGCUAGCCAUCACAAAUAUUCAUCUUUUCUUGGAAUACAAUAUGUGACAAUUGUCUUUCUAAUAAAAGUUCAUUUUACUUUCUUGUUAUUUAUCUUUAUGCUUUCUCUCUUCUUCUCCUUGUCUAC
This 4175-nucleotide long non-coding RNA is filed under the name Medicago truncatula (barrel medic). RNAcentral's name for it is "long non-coding RNA (MTRU_LNC004829)". Lineage: Eukaryota; Viridiplantae; Streptophyta; Magnoliopsida; Fabales; Fabaceae. The record is from RNAcentral.